RNAcentral lists this long non-coding RNA (1246 nucleotides) under Elaeis guineensis (African oil palm). Its description in RNAcentral is "long non-coding RNA (EGUI_LNC065836)". Lineage: Eukaryota; Viridiplantae; Streptophyta; Magnoliopsida; Arecales; Arecaceae. The record is from RNAcentral.
UGCCGUUGUCUCCAAAAGUGACUACUGUUCAAAGAUGAAGAACUGCUCCUUAUCAUCCAUCAUAUAUCUUGAACAACCGCUAUCCAAAUACCAUUUUCUUUUGGAUCCAUUGAUUGUAAAACAAUUCCUACAAGAAAAUCAAGUAACUUUCGUAGGUACCCAAAUUUUCUUAGGUCAUUUAGAGUUAGCAAUCAUGGUUCCUUUUGGAAUUCAAAUUUUUUUAAUUAUUUUUCUAUUAAACUUUCUUGUAUUGCAAACAUAAACCUCAUAUCCUACUCUACCACAGCUAAAGGAAAUGAUGUGUGAGUUGCUGCCAAUAGAUGAUGAUGCAAUGAAAAAUUUUUUAAAAAAAUUUAUUUAUUAUUUGAUUUAUAACCUAGACCAGCUCUAACGUAGACUCCUUUUUGAUUGUUUAAUAUCAUUUGUAAUUUUUCAGAGAUAUAUAUGAAUUUUUCAACCAAUGAUUGUAGUCUAUCAAUUUCUUUCUUUAAGGUCUUAUUUUCUCUUUCCAAUUUAUUGUAGUUUUCAAAGAUUUCUUCCUUCACUUUGAUUAGCAUCUUAUUCUUAAUUUUUAGAUUUUUAUUUUUUAUGCUAAUCUUUUUAAAGUCUUUCAUCAAAUCAUAGAAGACAUCAUGUAGCUCAUCGAAUGUAAAUUCUAGAAAAGAUUCUGAAUUUACCUCAUCCUCUUAUACCAUAAAGCACAAAUUGGCUUCAUUUUAGAUCUCUUCAUCUGAACUCGACUCGUUGCUGUCGCUCCAUAUUACAACCAUUGCCUUCUUCUUGAUCCUUUUGAAGUUUUCUUCAAUAUUGGACAAUCGGCCUUCAAGUGAUCAGAUUUUUUGUACUCAUAGUACAAGGAUAGUUCCUUUUCUUUUUUCCUGCUUGGCUCAUCCUUAGACAGAUUUUUCUUUCUAAAACCUUAUCUUCUCCUUCCUAUGAACUUCUUGAAUUUUUUGAUCACCAAGGCCAUAUCCUUAUCAUCUUCAACUUCGAUGGAUGCCCUUCAUCUUCUUCAACUGCAAUGGAUUUCAAAGCCAUUGUUUUCUUCUUUUGACUCUCCUCUUCCAUAUGCUACCCCAUCGCUAACUCGUGUGUCAUCAACGAUCCAAUAAGCUUCUUAAAUGACAACUUAUUCAAGUCUUUCGCCUCUUGGAUAACUGUGACUUUUAUCUCUCACAUUCUAGAUAAAGAUCUAAAAAUUUUUCUUACUAAUUCACUGUUAGUAUAGACUUUUUUUAAGCUUUUA